GCAAGUCGAACGAGAACGGAUUAAAGCUUGCUUUAAUUGUCAGCUAAGUGGCGCACGGGUGAGUAAUAUAUAGGUAACGUGCCUUCAAGAAGGGGAUAACAAUUGGAAACGAUUGCUAAUACCCUAUAUGCCUUUAAGUCUUAAGACUGCAAGGGAAAUAUUUAUAGCUCUAGGAUGAGACUGUACGGUAUCAGCUAGUUGGUGAGGUAAUGGCUCACCAAGACAAUGACGCUUAACUGGUUUGAGAGGAUGAUC
RNAcentral lists this ribosomal RNA (255 nucleotides) under uncultured bacterium. RNAcentral's name for it is "partial 16S ribosomal RNA". It matches the Rfam family "Bacterial small subunit ribosomal RNA", at positions 57 to 305 of the family's 1533-position model. The record is from RNAcentral.